AUCGCUUCUCGGCCUUUUGGCUAAGAUCAAGUGUAGAAAGGUGUAUGUUUAAUUUUCACAUAUUUGUGAAUUUCCUGGAUAUUUAACUCUAGAUAGAGAAUAUAAUUUUGUAGGAUUUGGAUCUUUUAAAUUUGUCAAAACAUAUUAUAGCCUGC
Molecule: small nuclear RNA, 155 nt
Filed under: Fukomys damarensis (Damara mole-rat)
Lineage: Eukaryota; Metazoa; Chordata; Mammalia; Rodentia; Bathyergidae
Description: U2 spliceosomal RNA
Rfam family: U2 spliceosomal RNA
About the family: U2 is a small nuclear RNA (snRNA) component of the spliceosome (involved in pre-mRNA splicing).
Source: Rfam by way of RNAcentral